This 175-nucleotide unclassified non-coding RNA is filed under the name soil metagenome. RNAcentral describes it as "partial internal transcribed spacer 1". The record is from RNAcentral.
CACAAUAACAUAUGAAGGCUGCACCGCCAACAGGCGGCAAGGCUGGAGUAUUUUAUUACCCUUGUCUUUUGCGCACUUGUUGUUUCCUGGGCGGGUUCGCCCGCCUCCAGGACCACAUGAUAAACCUUUUUUAUGCAGUUGCAAUCAGCGUCAGUACAACAAAUGUAAUCAUUUA